This 391-nucleotide ribosomal RNA is filed under the name uncultured bacterium. RNAcentral describes it as "bacterial SSU rRNA". It matches the Rfam family "Bacterial small subunit ribosomal RNA", at positions 28 to 413 of the family's 1533-position model. The record is from RNAcentral.
GACGAACGCUGGCGGCACGCUUAACACAUGCAAGUCGAACGAGAGAGAAGAUUAGCUUGCUAAACUUCGAUCUAGUGGCGGACGGGUGAGUAACACGUGAGGAACCUGCCUAUCAGAGAGGGAUACCGUUUGGAAACGAACGUUAAUACCACAUAACGUAACGAUACCGCAUGGUAAUGUUACCAAAGAUUUAUCGCUGAUAGAUGGCCUCGCGUCUGAUUAGAUAGUUGGUGAGGUAACGGCUCACCAAGGCGACGAUCAGUAGCCGGACUGAGAGGUUGACCGGCCACAUUGGGACUGAGAUACGGCCCAGACUCCUACGGAGGCAGCAGUGGGGAAUAUUGGGCAAUGGGCGAAAGCCUGACCCAGCAACGCCGCGUGAAGGAGAAGG